AGUGAGUGAGUGAGUGAGUGAGUGAGUGAAUGAGUGAGUUGGUGAGUCAGUGAGUGAGUGAGUGAGUGAGUGAAUGAGUGAGUCGGUGAGUCAGUGAGUGAGUGAGUCAGUGAGUGAGUGAGUGAGUGAAUGAGUGAGUGAGUGAGUCGGUGAGUCUGUGAGUGAGUGAGUGAGUCAGUUUGUGAGUGAGUGAGUGAGUGAAUGAGUCAGUGAGUGAGUGAGUGAGUGAGUGAGUCAGUGAGUGAGUGAGUGAAUGAGUGAGUGAGUCAGUGAGUGAGUGAGUGAGUCAGUGAGUGAGUCAGUGAGUGAGUGAGUAGUGAGUCAGUGAGUGAGUGAAUGAGUCAGUGAGUGAGUCAGUGAGUGAGUGAUGUCACUGAGUGAGUGAGCGAGUCAGUGAGUGAGUGAGUGAGUGAAUGAGUGAGUCAGUGAGUGAGUCAGUGAGUGAGUGAGUGAGUCAGUGAGUGAGUGAAUGAGUGAGUGAUUGAAUGAGUCAGUCAGUGAGUGAGUGAGUGAGUGAGUCAGUGAGUGAGUGAGUGAGUGAGUCAGUGAGGGAGGGAGUGAGUCAGUGAGUGAGUGAGCGAGGCAGUGAGUGAGUGAGUCAGUGAGUGAGUCAGUGAAUGAGUCAGUGAGUGAGUGAGUGAGUCAGUCAGUGAGUGAGUGAGUGAGUCAGUGAGUGAGUCAGUGAGUGAGUGAGGGAGUGAGUGAGUGAAUGAGUCAGUGAGUGAGUCAGUGAGUCAGUGAGUGAGUGAAUGAGUGAAUGUCAGUGAGUGAGUGAUCGGUCAGAUGAGUGAG
Molecule: long non-coding RNA, 792 nt
Organism: Ictalurus punctatus (channel catfish)
Lineage: Eukaryota; Metazoa; Chordata; Actinopteri; Siluriformes; Ictaluridae
Source: Ensembl